GGCGUGCCUAAUACAUGCAAGUCGAACGAACUCUGGUAUUGAUUGGUGCUUGCAUCAUGAUUUACAUUUGAGUGAGUGGCGAACUGGUGAGUAACACGUGGGAAACCUGCCCAGAAGCGGGGGAUAACACCUGGAAACAGAUGCUAAUACCGCAUAACAACUUGGACCGCAUGGUCCGAGUUUGAAAGAUGGCUUCGGCUAUCACUUUUGGAUGGUCCCGCGGCGUAUUAGCUAGAUGGUGGGGUAACGGCUCACCAUGGCAAUGAUACGUAGCCGACCUGAGAGGGUAAUCGGCCACAUUGGGACUGAGACACGGCCCAAACUCCUACGGGAGGCAGCAGUAGGGAAUCUUCCACAAUGGACGAAAGUCUGAUGGAGCAACGCCGCGUGAGUGAAGAAGGGUUUCGGCUCGUAAAACUCUGUUGUUAAAGAAGAACAUAUCUGAGAGUAACUGUUCAGGUAUUGACGGUAUUUAACCAGAAAGCCACGGCUAACUACGUGCCAGCAGCCGCGGUAAUACGUAGGUGGCAAGCGUUGUCCGGAUUUAUUGGGCGUAAAGCGAGCGCAGGCGGUUUUUUAAGUCUGAUGUGAAAGCCUUCGGCUCAACCGAAGAAGUGCAUCGGAAACUGGGAAACUUGAGUGCAGAAGAGGACAGUGGAACUCCAUGUGUAGCGGUGAAAUGCGUAGAUAUAUGGAAGAACACCAGUGGCGAAGGCGGCUGUCUGGUCUGUAACUGACGCUGAGGCUCGAAAGUAUGGGUAGCAAACAGGAUUAGAUACCCUGGUAGUCCAUACCGUAAACGAUGAAUGCUAAGUGUUGGAGGGUUUCCGCCCUUCAGUGCUGCAGCUAACGCAUUAAGCAUUCCGCCUGGGGAGUACGGCCGCAAGGCUGAAACUCAAAGGAAUUGACGGGGGCCCGCACAAGCGGUGGAGCAUGUGGUUUAAUUCGAAGCUACGCGAAGAACCUUACCAGGUCUUGACAUACUAUGCAAAUCUAAGAGAUUAGACGUUCCCUUCGGGGACAUGGAUACAGGUGGUGCAUGGUUGUCGUCAGCUCGUGUCGUGAGAUGUUGGGUUAAGUCCCGCAACGAGCGCAACCCUUAUUAUCAGUUGCCAGCAUUAAGUUGGGCACUCUGGUGAGACUGCCGGUGACAAACCGGAGGAAGGUGGGGAUGACGUCAAAUCAUCAUGCCCCUUAUGACCUGGGCUACACACGUGCUACAAUGGAUGGUACAACGAGUUGCGAACUCGCGAGAGUAAGCUAAUCUCUUAAAGCCAUUCUCAGUUCGGAUUGUAGGCUGCAACUCGCCUACAUGAAGUCGGAAUCGCUAGUAAUCGCGGAUCAGCAUGCCGCGGUGAAUACGUUCCCGGGCCUUGUACACACCGCCCGUCACACCAUGAGAGUUUGUAACACCCAAAGUCGGUGGGGUAACCUUUUAGGAACCAGCCGCCUAAGGUGGGACAGAUGA
This 1468-nucleotide ribosomal RNA is filed under the name Lactiplantibacillus plantarum. RNAcentral describes it as "bacterial SSU rRNA". It matches the Rfam family "Bacterial small subunit ribosomal RNA". The record is from RNAcentral. Lineage: Bacteria; Bacillati; Bacillota; Bacilli; Lactobacillales; Lactobacillaceae.